CCUUAAGAACGGUUCUGUAUAUGUGAGU
This 28-nucleotide non-coding RNA is filed under the name Cricetulus griseus (Chinese hamster). Lineage: Eukaryota; Metazoa; Chordata; Mammalia; Rodentia; Cricetidae. The record is from RNAcentral.